CGGUUGAUCCUGCCGGACCUGACUGCUAUCGGAUUGAUACUAAGCCAUGCGAGUCAUUGUAGCAAUACAAGGCAGACGGCUCAGUAACGCGUAGUCAACCUAACCUAUGGACGGGAAUAACCUCGGGAAACUGAGAAUAAUGCCCGAUAGAACACUAUACCUGGAAUGGUUUGUGUUCCAAAUGAUUUAUCGCCGUAGGAUGGGACUGCGGCCUAUCAGUUUGUUGGUGAGGUAAUGGCCCACCAAGACUAUUACAGGUACGGGCUCUGAGAGGAGUAGCCCGGAGAUGGGUACUGAGACACGGACCCAGGCCCUAUGGGGCGCAGCAGGCGAGAAAACUUUGCAAUGUGCGAAAGCACGACAAGGUUAAUCCGAGUGAUUUGUGCUAAACGAAUCUUUUGUUAGUCCUAGAAACACUAACGAAUAAGGGGUGGGCAAGUUCUGGUGUCAGCCGCCGCGGUAAAACCAGCACCUCAAGUGGUCAGGAUGAUUAUUGGGCCUAAAGCAUCCGUAGCCGGCUCUGUAAGUUUUCGGUUAAAUCUGUACGCUCAACGUACAGGCUGCCGGGAAUACUGCAGAGCUAGGGAGUGGGAGAGGUAGACGGUACUCGGUAGGAAGGGGUAAAAUCCUUUGAUCUAUUGAUGACCACCUGUGGCGAAGGCGGUCUACCAGAACACGUCCGACGGUGAGGGAUGAAAGCUGGGGGAGCAAACCGGAUUAGAUACCCGGGUAGUCCCAGCUGUAAACUAUGCAAACUCAGUGAUGCAUUGACUUGUGGUCAAUGCAGUGCUGCAGGGAAGCCGUUAAGUUUGCCGCCUGGGAAGUACGUACGCAAGUAUGAAACUUAAAGGAAUUGGCGGGGGAGCAC
This 868-nucleotide ribosomal RNA is filed under the name uncultured archaeon. Its description in RNAcentral is "bacterial SSU rRNA". It matches the Rfam family "Archaeal small subunit ribosomal RNA", at positions 5 to 879 of the family's 1478-position model. The record is from RNAcentral.